This 298-nucleotide long non-coding RNA is filed under the name Setaria viridis. Its description in RNAcentral is "long non-coding RNA (SVIR_LNC005118)". Lineage: Eukaryota; Viridiplantae; Streptophyta; Magnoliopsida; Poales; Poaceae. The record is from RNAcentral.
GGUAGAAGGGUGAGCUUCGCUUUAAGUGCACAGGUGAACUGAAGUUGCUCCUGUCUAGAAUCAGAUUAAACUUCCUUGCUUGCUUUCCAUUAAUUGUUUUGUGUAUUCAUAUUUUAAAUGGUAGCUAAGUCCACCAUUGUGACUUCUGUCAGUGGCCCAGUCCUCAUUGAUGGACAAAUAAAAAUAGUACUAACAAUCCUAAAAAAAUAUGUAUCAAGAGGUUACUGCAGUAACUGCUUAUGGAACCAAGGAUGCCUCAGCAUUGUUUGAAUAAUACAUUUUCAAGCAUAGCUAUGGG